CCCAGAAGGCUGGGCUCCCCGCGUUUGAAACGGAGGAUGUGGGGGUCUGCGGUGCCUCGCGCCUAGGUUGAAUACCUGGAUCCCCAGGGAGGCGCCAACUGUAGCCCAGGAUGCCUCUCAGACGCGGCUGUGGCCAGCUGCGGCCGACCCGGCUGAAGGGGAAGCCUCCAGGCCCCCGAACAGCGCCUCGGGUACCGUUCCCACUCGCGCUCCCAAAGAGCUAUGACCUGAGACCAGCUUGGCUUCGUGCCCGGGCUCUGCAAGCCGGAGCUGCGGUGGGGCCUCUGCGCCCAGGCCGGAGGAGAAGGGACUCCAGGAGCUGCGUGGGCGUGGGGUUUUCCCCACCCGGGGAAAGGGAGCCGAGUGACUGUGGGUUUCGCGGAGCGCUCGCACGCUGUGGCACCUCAUCCCAGUCGUACUCUUUUUUGUCAGAUGCUCUUAGCUCCCUACUGUUUAGGGUAAGAUUUGUCCCCUACACAGACUACGUAAGUCUACAAGCAACCUCUGCACCCCAGUCAAGUGCAAUAGAAACAUUCCCUUACAUGCAGAAAGUCUACCCCAGACAGUGGGACUACGUACAGAGCAGAGAGCUACAUGUUGUUAUGUCUAUUACUGACACAUUGCACUGAGGGCUACAUCUUAUUAAAAAUGUUCCUUGAGUAUCUUUGCUACUCAGCCCAAGGGAUUCUACAGUAACUUUGGAGCUUCCCCUUCAUCAUGCCUGCCCUCGGAGGUAGGGUGAAACCCUUUGCCUCUGAGCUCCUUGGGGCACUGUUUUCCUUGAGCCCCUGCCAAAGCUGCAGUUGUAGGCAUCCCUGCCUUCCACUCCACUGCAGAGCAGGGAUCUGCAUUGCUGAGCAGCAGUGGGAGACAGCUCAUCACCCCCCUGGAGGCCUCCUGGGUUCACAGAAGAAAGAGCAGGCAGUGAAGUGGGGUUGGGGGAUCAGACCUGGGCCAAGUGAAGACGGGAGAGUGACUCCAGGGGGAGAAGACCAAGGGAAGGAGAGAUAUUUGGGGGAGGAGGCAGGGUAGUGGGAGCUGAGUAGGGAACUGCUGAUUAUUCAUUCAUUCGACAAAGUGUUUUAACCAUCUACAAUGUCUUAGGCACCGUUUUGGGGGCUGACAAAUCAAAGACCAUGCUUUAAUGAGGCAACAU
Lynx canadensis (Canada lynx) is the source of this 1156-nucleotide long non-coding RNA. RefSeq lists it as uncharacterized. The transcript has 3 exons. The record is from RefSeq and is a predicted model, not a curated record. Lineage: Eukaryota; Metazoa; Chordata; Mammalia; Carnivora; Felidae.